This 524-nucleotide ribosomal RNA is filed under the name Truncatella brazieri. Its description in RNAcentral is "partial 16S ribosomal RNA". It matches the Rfam family "Bacterial large subunit ribosomal RNA", at positions 1811 to 2608 of the family's 2925-position model. Lineage: Eukaryota; Metazoa; Mollusca; Gastropoda; Littorinimorpha; Truncatellidae. The record is from RNAcentral.
AAACAUGGCUCUUUGAAACUACAGUAUAGAGAGUCGAGCCUGCCCAGUGAUAAAAUUAAACGGCCGCGGUACUCUGACCGUGCAAAGGUAGCAUAAUCAUUUGCCCUAUAAUUGAGGGCUAGUAUGAAUGGUUUGACAAAAGCAAAACUGUCUCAUCAGAAUUUAAUAGAAUUUAGUUUUUGAGUGAAGAAACUCAAAUAAAAUUGAAAGACAAGAAGACCCUAUCGAGCUUUAAAAUACUUUGUUAAAAAAUAUGUAUUAAUUAAUUAAUUUUAGCAAAAAAUUUUGGUUGGGGCGACUAAGGAACAAAGGAAGCUUCUUUUUAAUUUAAUAAACCUAUAAGUUUUGAUCCAGAAGAUUCUGAUUAAAAGAAUUAGUUACCGUAGGGAUAACAGCAUAAUCUUCUUCAAGAGCUCUUAUCGAAAAGAAGGUUUGUGACCUCGAUGUUGGACUAGGAUAUCCUAAAGAUGUAGAAGUCUUUAAAGUGUUGGUCUGUUCGACCAUUAAAAUCCUACAUGAUCUGA